RNAcentral lists this ribosomal RNA (461 nucleotides) under uncultured bacterium. Its description in RNAcentral is "bacterial SSU rRNA". It matches the Rfam family "Bacterial small subunit ribosomal RNA", at positions 917 to 1382 of the family's 1533-position model. The record is from RNAcentral.
GGACCCGCACAAGCGGUGGAUGAUGUGGAUUAAUUCGAUGCAACGCGAAAAACCUUACCUACCCUUGACAUGUACGGAAUCCCAGAGAGAUUUGGGAGUGCUCGAAAGAGAGCCGUAACACAGGUGCUGCAUGGCUGUCGUCAGCUCGUGUCGUGAGAUGUUGGGUUAAGUCCCGCAACGAGCGCAACCCUUGUCAUUAGUUGCUACGAAAGGGCACUCUAAUGAGACUGCCGGUGACAAACCGGAGGAAGGUGGGGAUGACGUCAAGUCCUCAUGGCCCUUAUGGGUAGGGCUUCACACGUCAUACAAUGGUACAUACAGAGGGCCGCCAACCCGCGAGGGGGAGCUAAUCCCAGAAAGUGUAUCGUAGUCCGGAUUGCACUCUGCAACUCGAGUGCAUGAAGUUGGAAUCGCUAGUAAUCGCGGAUCAGCAUGUCGCGGUGAAUACGUUCCCGGGUCUU